AGUGAACGCUGGCGGUAGGCCUAACACAUGCAAGUCGAACGGCAGCACAGUAAGAGCUUGCUCUUACGGGUGGCGAGUGGCGGACGGGUGAGGAAUACAUCGGAAUCUACUUUUUCGUGGGGGAUAACGUAGGGAAACUUACGCUAAUACCGCAUACGACCUACGGGUGAAAGCAGGGGAUCUUCGGACCUUGCGCGAUUGUAUGAGCCGAUGUCGGAUUAGCUAGUUGGCGGGGUAAAGGCCCACCAAGGCGACGAUCCGUAGCUGGUCUGAGAGGAUGAUCAGCCACACUGGAACUGAGACACGGUCCAGACUCCUACGGGAGGCAGCAGUGGGGAAUAUUGGACAAUGGGCGCAAGCCUGAUCCAGCCAUACCGCGUGUGUGAAGAAGGCCUUCGGGUUGUAAAGCCCUUUUGUUGGGAAAGAAAAGCAGUAGGUUAAUACCCCGCUGUUCUGACGGUACCCAAAGAAUAAGCACCGGCUAACUUCGUG
Molecule: ribosomal RNA, 492 nt
Filed under: uncultured bacterium
Lineage: Bacteria
Description: partial 16S ribosomal RNA
Rfam family: Bacterial small subunit ribosomal RNA
Source: RNAcentral